UAAGGAAUAUUGGUCAAUGGACGAAAGUCUGAACCAGCCAUGCCGCGUGGAGGAUGAAGGUCCUCUGGAUUGUAAACUUCUUUUAUCUGGGACGAAAAAAGGUCUUUCUAGAUCGUCUGACGGUACCAGAUGAAUAAACACCGGCUAACUCCGUGCCAGCGGCCGCGGUAAUACGGAGGGUGCAAGCGUUAUCCGGAUUCACUGGGUUUAAAGGGUGCGUAGGUGGGUUGGUAAGUCAGUGGUGAAAUCCUCGAGCUUAACUCGGAAACUGCCAUUGAUACUAUCAGUCUUGAAUAUUGUGGAGGUUAGCGGAGUAUGUCAUGUAGCGGUGAAAAUGCUUAGAUAUGACAUAGAACACCAAUUGCGAAGGCAGCUGGCUACACAUAUAUUGACACUGAGGCACGAAAAGCGUGGGGAUCAAAACAGGAUUAGAUACCCUGGUAGUCCACGCCCUAAACUAUGGAUACUCGACAUACGCGAUACACUGUGUGUGUCUGAGCGAAAAGCAUUAAGUAUCCCCACCUGGGAAGUACGAUCGCAAGAUUGAAACUCAAAUGAAUGACGGGGUCAUAGCUGUUU
RNAcentral lists this ribosomal RNA (579 nucleotides) under uncultured bacterium. Its description in RNAcentral is "partial 16S ribosomal RNA". It matches the Rfam family "Bacterial small subunit ribosomal RNA", at positions 355 to 935 of the family's 1533-position model. The record is from RNAcentral.